Molecule: ribosomal RNA, 427 nt
Filed under: uncultured bacterium
Lineage: Bacteria
Description: bacterial SSU rRNA
Rfam family: Bacterial small subunit ribosomal RNA
Source: RNAcentral
GUGGGGAAUAUUGCACAAUGGGGGAAACCCUGAUGCAGCAACGCCGCGUGAGUGAAGAAGUAUUUCGGUAUGUAAAGCUCUAUCAGCAGGGAAGAAGAAAGACGGUACCUGACUAAGAAGCACCGGCUAAAUACGUGCCAGCAGCCGCGGUAAUACGUAUGGUGCAAGCGUUAUCCGGAUUUACUGGGUGUAAAGGGAGCGCAGGCGGCCGUGCAAGCCAGAGGUGAAAACCCGGGGCUCAACCCCGCGGAUUGCCUUUGGAACUGUAUGGCUUGAGUACUGGAGGGGCAGGCGGAAUUCCUGGUGUAGCGGUGAAAUGCGUAGAUAUCAGGAGGAACACCGGUGGCGAAGGCGGCCUGCUGGACAGAAACUGACGCUGAGGCUCGAAAGCGUGGGGAGCAAACAGGAUUAGAAACCCUAGUAGUCC